This 903-nucleotide unclassified non-coding RNA is filed under the name Hevea brasiliensis (rubber tree). Lineage: Eukaryota; Viridiplantae; Streptophyta; Magnoliopsida; Malpighiales; Euphorbiaceae. The record is from RNAcentral.
UCAAAACAAAAAAAACAUAAACAAGUAGUAAAACAAGAUAGAGAGAGAGAGAGAUAUUUUUGGGUCCAAAUUCGGGUUCUGUUCGCCUUGACCGGUUUUGGACCCACCUUUUUUGGGUUUUUGAUCCUCUUGUUUUUUACCUGUACUAGACUAAUCAAAUAAUAAUACAAAGUAAAUAUAGAAAAGUAAAAGACAAGGGCUUAGGCCCAAAAAAUAACAAAAUACAAAAUGAAAUGAAUAGAUAAAGUGGGCCUCCUCUGACCCAACUUCUUCAAAUCUCCGACUUCUUGAUUUUCAAAUUCUUCCAACUUAGGACCUGUACACCGAUUUUAAUGGGCCCGCUGACUUGAAAAAGCGUGAUUCUCCAUGACUCUCUCGAAAUGCGCGAGGAAUAGAAGGGUUUGUGAUAAACUCGAACCGUUUUCACAUGUGACAAAGUAGUUAACAAAAUUAGUAUUCGAAGAUAUGGAAUAAUGACGAUGUAACCCAAACAAUAUGGGAUUUAAUUAAGGUGAAUGACAUUCAAAGAAAUCAAAUUAAGGCAGAAUGCGACUCUAGAAGAAAGAAUUAGAUCAAACAAAGUUGAAAAAGAACGAAGUAAUAAACACAUUUACGCAAACAGAUGGUUGCAUAAAUAAAUGCGUACAAACACUUAAUAACCUUUUAACUGAAACUGAAUUUAUUCUCAAAGCAGUAACGUAAAACACCAAAUGGCAAAGCUAACCCAAGGCAGAAAAUAUUAAGAUUAACAGUGGUAAAGGGUGAAUCUAGGCAUAACUGCUAGACAAAGGUAAUGAUAAAGUAAGUAAUUAUCUACUAAACAUGAAGUGGCCCUUUUUUAAAAUUAUUUCUUGUCUAUCACUAUUACAGAAAGAGACUAGGAUCAUUAAGAACAAAUUAAAU